GAUCAUUAUCAUUAGGCCGUCUGCUUCAGUGCGGCCGCAACAACGAAUGCUUGACACGGUAAGUCCUGGGGUUGCCAUCGCGGUUAGGUCCGACUCAGGUCACUCCAUGUGCGCGUGUCAUUGCGCCUUCUUUGUUAUCCUUUCUGUGUAUAUUACUUCUGUUGCUUCCCGCAGAGCAUUUGGUCCAUGGGGCUGAACCUGCGGGGAGGGAAUCAUAAACUCUGGUCUUGUAUUGGUGGUCUGAGUGGUUUGUCACAUAAAAACAAGUUAAAACUUUCAACAACGGAUCUCUUGGUUCUCGUAUCGAUGAAGAACGCAGCGAAAUGCGAUAAGUAGUGUGAAUUGCAGAAUUCAGUGAAUCAUCGAAUCUUUGAACGCACAUUGCGCCUUCUGGUAAUCCGGGAGGCAUGCCUGUUCGAGCGUCAUAAAGCACACCCUCAAGCAUCUAGGCUUGGUCUUGGAGGAAGAUGCUUGCAUCUCCUCUGAAAUUCCUCAGCGGAUACUUCUGUGGUCCCAGGUGUGAUAUAUCAUUUUCACUUGAUGGCUACAGGUAUGCUCUUGCUGUCAAAUGCCCCCCCAGCUUUGUAUACGUUUGACCUCGAAUCAGGUAGGGAUACCCGCUGAACUUAAGCAUAUCAAUAAGCGGAGGAAAAGAAACCAACAGGGAUUGCCUCAGUAACUGCGAGUGAAGCGGCAAAAGCUCAAAUUUGAAAUCUGACACCUUUGGGUGUCCGAGUUGUAAUUUGGAGAGGCAACUUCGAAGGAGGCGCUGGCCUAAGUUCCUUGGAACAGGACGUCACAGAGGGUGAGAAUCCCGUGCUUGGCUGGCUGUCCUUCUUCAUGUGAAGUGUCUUCGACGAGUCGAGUUGUUUGGGAAUGCAGCUCAAAAUGGGUGGUAAACUCCAUCUAAGGCUAAAUAUUGGCGAGAGACCGAUAGCGCACAAGUAGAGUGAUCGAAAGAUGAAAAGCACUUUGAAAAGAGAGUUAAAAAGUACGUGAAAUUGUUGAAAGGGAAGCGCUUGAGACCAGACUCGGUGAUUGGUGAUCAGCGGUUGCUUUUGCUCCGUGCACUUGCCUUUCACUGGGCCAGCAUCAGUUGUGACGGCGGGAUAAAGACCGGGGGAAUGUGGCUCCCUUCGGGGAGUGUUAUAGCCCUGGGUGUAAUGCCGCCUGUUGCAACUGAGGACCGCGCU
This 1193-nucleotide ribosomal RNA is filed under the name Pezizomycetes sp. genotype 513. RNAcentral's name for it is "eukaryotic LSU rRNA". The stretch from base 594 to 1193 matches the Rfam family "Eukaryotic large subunit ribosomal RNA", at positions 1 to 601 of the family's 3401-position model. The record is from RNAcentral. Lineage: Eukaryota; Fungi; Ascomycota; Pezizomycetes.